UCUAUACAUUCUACAAAUAAUAAUUUUUUAUAAUUAUUGCAUCGAAUUUUUUGGUUUUAACCAUUUUCUUCUUUUUAUUGUUAAUAUUUUCAAUAUUGGUGCCUGGUCAAUUGUAGACUCCGGGAGGGGGACUAUUUACGUCCGCAGUGUAAAGAAACUCAAGACAAGAAGAUAAAUACUUUUGAAUAAAAAUUCAAAACAUGAGUUGAAGCAAUAGGGAUAUCUUCAAAAUCGACUACCCAACACAUAACGUAACCAUUUUAUGAAUAUCCUAGCCAUAAACCUAAUCCUUAUGAAGUUCGAUCAUCUCCUAACCAUAAUUUCACAGUCUUUCUUGGACAAAC
Leptinotarsa decemlineata (Colorado potato beetle) is the source of this 344-nucleotide long non-coding RNA. NCBI's taxonomy places the organism in Eukaryota, Metazoa, Arthropoda, Insecta, Coleoptera, Chrysomelidae. The record is from RefSeq and is a predicted model, not a curated record.